UACAGAGGUGGCAAGCGUUGUUCGGAAUUAUUGGGCGUAAAGGGCGCGUAGGCGGCCUGGCAAGCGGAAGGUGAAAUCCCUCGGCUUAACCGAGGAACUGCCCUCCAAACUGCUUGGCUUGAGUCCGGGAGAGGUGAGUGGAAUUCCCAGUGUAGCGGUGAAAUGCGUAGAUAUUGGGAGGAACACCAGUGGCGAAGGCGGCUCACUGGACCGGAACUGACGCUGAUGCGCGAAAGCGUGGGGAGCAAACGGG
Molecule: ribosomal RNA, 253 nt
Filed under: uncultured bacterium
Lineage: Bacteria
Description: partial 16S ribosomal RNA
Rfam family: Bacterial small subunit ribosomal RNA
Source: RNAcentral